This 203-nucleotide unclassified non-coding RNA is filed under the name Hevea brasiliensis (rubber tree). The record is from RNAcentral. Lineage: Eukaryota; Viridiplantae; Streptophyta; Magnoliopsida; Malpighiales; Euphorbiaceae.
GGCUUCCCGCUAUAUCCCAAUCAUUGCUUUGGUAAAAGCCCUAACUUUAUCUUCCGAUUCGUCUCUCUGCCUUCAGCCAUGGUUCUCUCCUUUGAUUUGCAGGACUUUAUUCUCCGUGCUCGAGUUUUGAAGCUAUACAGACAAGCAUUAAGGACUGCACAAAGAGCCCCUGAACAUGCUAGAGUUGAACUGAAGCAGACAAU